CUCUACUCAUUCCUCAACUAAUGUACUUCUCCUUGUCUUGUAUUCCAUUUUUUUUUCUUUUUUAUGAUCAUUCCUUUUAAUGAUUCAGUUAAUUAUAUACCUUUAAAUAUUCAUCUUAUUUUCAGAAGUACAAAUCCUUACACAGUAGAAAUUAGUUCUGCCAUGCUCUGAUUUAAAGUAGGAGUGAACUCCUCAAAGGACCCAUGCUCUUGUCAUCUGGCUCUACUCUAUUGGAUAUAGUGUGGCUGACUGACCUUCAGAGGAAAAGAAGCCUCUUCUCAUUUGUGUAUCAUGAUUCCUGCUUUCCAUUCAACUAACAGAACAUCAUAUUGAGGUAUUUUUAAAUAAAGAUGAUGGAUCAUCUUUGAAAUUUUUAUUACCAAAUUAUAAAAAUAAUUGAAUGUUUACAUUAACCAAAUCAAAUGGAACCCUCUGGACAUAAUCAGUAAUCUGUGGCCUAGAAACUCAUUUUAGCAGUGGAGAAACUGCCUUGGAUUUAAUACGGUCAAUGCAGAGUCUACUUGAGAAUCACUAUAACUUAUCAUGUUUGUGUCUCUUUUUCAGCAAAUUGGAAUUUUAUUGUUUUUAAAGCUUCUACAUCCUUGAAUAAAAUGUAUCAUGUACAUAUUAAGUUUAUUGUUGCUUACAGGCAUGGAAAUAAAUGAUAUUUCCGUGGGGGCAAAAUAGGCUUUUCCAAAUUUCCUAAAUAAAAACGGUUUGAGAAAACAUCACUUUCCAGAAUACACUGAAGGAGCCCCAGAGGAAAACAAAAGGUAUUCAUAUUUGUACACUGAUGUCUAUUCAGUGCUCUUUUAAAUAGUCAGAAUGUCACAACUUCGGCAUUUCUAAGGGAACAUUCGGGUAUUCUAACCUGAUAGUUUCAAUUCCUUUUUAGUCUUUGUAA
This 904-nucleotide long non-coding RNA is filed under the name Marmota monax (woodchuck). The record is from RNAcentral. Lineage: Eukaryota; Metazoa; Chordata; Mammalia; Rodentia; Sciuridae.